Long non-coding RNA from Rhipicephalus sanguineus (brown dog tick), 3359 nucleotides. RefSeq lists it as uncharacterized. The record is from RefSeq and is a predicted model, not a curated record. Lineage: Eukaryota; Metazoa; Arthropoda; Arachnida; Ixodida; Ixodidae. The transcript has 12 exons.
CUAGAGGAAAAGUGGCGCAAUGGCCAAAUACAGAAAGAGAAGCGUUUGCAGGAACAAGAGGUAAAGUGGCGCAAGGUGCAAAGAGAGAAAAACAAGAAUUGCAGGAACUAGAGGAAAAGUGGCGCAAUGGCCAAAUACAGAAAGAGAAGCGUUUGCAGGAACUAGAGGUAAAGUGGCGCAAGGUGCAAAGAGAGAAAAACAAGAAUUGCAGGAACUAGAGGAAAAGUGGCGCAAUGGCCAAAUACAGAAAGAGAAGCGUUUGCAGGAACUAGAGGUAAAGUGGCGCAAGGUGCAAAGAGAGAAAAACAAGAAUUGCAGGAACUAGAGGAAAAGUGGCGCAAUGGCCAAAUACAGAAAGAGAAGCGUUUGCAGGAACUAGAGGUAAAGUGGCGCAAGGUGCAAAGAGAGAAAAACAAGAAUUGCAGGAACUAGAGGAAAAGUGGCGCAAUGGCCAAAUACAGAAAGAGAAGCGUUUGCAGGAACUAGAGGUAAAGUGGCGCAAGGUGCAAAGAGAGAAAAACAAGAAUUGCAGGAACUAGAGGAAAAGUGGCGCAAUGGCCAAAUACAGAAAGAGAAGCGUUUGCAGGUACUAGAGGUAAAGUGGCGGAAGGUGCAAAGAGAGAAAAACAAGAAUUGCAGGAACUAGAGGAAAAGUGGCGCAAUGGCCAAAUACAGAAAGAGAAGCGUUUGCAGGUACUAGAGGUAAAGUGGCGGAAGGUGCAAAGAGAGAAAAACAAGAAUUGCAGGAACUAGAGGAAAAGUGGCGCAAUGGCCAAAUACAGAAAGAGAAGCGUUUGCAGGAACUAGAGGUAAAGUGGCGCAAGGUGCAAAGAGAGAAAAACAAGAAUUGCAGGAACUAGAGGAAAAGUGGCGCAAUGGCCAAAUACAGAAAGAGAAGCGUUUGCAGGAACUAGAGGUAAAGUGGCGCAAGGUGCAAAGAGAGAAAAACAAGAAUUGCAGGAACUAGAGGUAAAGUGGCGCAAGGUGCAAAGAGAGAAAAACAAGAAUUGCAGGAACUAGAGGAAAAAUGGCGCAAGGUGCAAAGAAGAAAAAUAAGCGCUUGCAAGAACUAGAGGAAGAGUGCAGCAAGAAUCAAAUACAGAAAGAGAAGCGUUUGCAGGAACUAGAGGUAAAGUGGCGCAAGGUGCAAAGAGAGAAAAAUAAGAAUUGCAGGAACUAGAGGAAAAAUGGCGCAAGGUGCAAAGAAGAAAAAUAAGCGCUUGCAAGAACUAGAGGAAGAGUGCAGCAAGAAUCAAAUACAGAAAGAGAAGCGUUUGCAGGAACUAGAGGAAAAGUGGCGCAAGGUGCAAAGAGAGAAAAACAAGAAUUGCAGGAACUAGAGGAAAAGUGGCGCAAGGUGCAAAGAGAGAAAAACAAGAAUUGCAGGAACUAGAGGUAAAGUGGCGCAAGGUGCAAAGAGAGAAAAACAAGAAUUGCAGGAACUAGAGGUAAAGUGGCGCAAGGUGCAAAGAGAGAAAAACAAGAAUUGCAGGAACUAGAGGAAAAGUGGCGCAAGGUGCAAAGAGAGAAAAACAAGAAUUGCAGGAACUAGAGGUAAAGUGGCGCAAGGUGCAAAGAGAGAAAAACAAGAAUUGCAGGAACUAGAGGUAAAGUGGCGCAAGGUGCAAAGAGAGAAAAACAAGAAUUGCAGGAACUAGAGGAAAAAUGGCGCAAGGUGCAAAGAAGAAAAAUAAGCGCUUGCAAGAACUAGAGGAAGAGUGCAGCAAGAAUCAAAUACAGAAAGAGAAGCGUUUGCAGGAACUAGAGGUAAAGUGGCGCAAGGUGCAAAGAGAGAAAAACAAGAAUUGCAGGAACUAGAGGAAAAGUGGCGCAAGGUGCAAAGAGAGAAAAACAAGAAUUGCAGGAACUAGAGGUAAAGUGGCGCAAGGUGCAAAGAGAGAAAAACAAGAAUUGCAGGAACUAGAGGAAAAGUGGCGCAAGGUGCAAAGAGAGAAAAACAAGAAUUGCAGGAACUAGAGGUAAAGUGGCGCAAGGUGCAAAGAGAGAAAAACAAGAAUUGCAGGAACUAGAGGAAAAAUGGCGCAAGGUGCAAAGAAGAAAAAUAAGCGCUUGCAAGAACUAGAGGAAGAGUGCAGCAAGAAUCAAAUACAGAAAGAGAAGCGUUUGCAGGAACUAGAGGUAAAGUGGCGCAAGGUGCAAAGAGAGAAAAACAAGAAUUGCAGGAACUAGAGGUAAAGUGGCGCAAGGUGCAAAGAGAGAAAAACAAGAAUUGCAGGAACUAGAGGAAAAAUGGCGCAAGGUGCAAAGAAGAAAAAUAAGCGCUUGCAAGAACUAGAGGAAGAGUGCAGCAAGAAUCAAAUUCAGAAAGAGAAGCGCUUGCAGGAACUAGAUGAAAAGUGGCGCGAAGAGUAAAUAGAGAAAGAGAAGCGCUUGCAGGAAGUAGAGGAAAAGUGGUGGAACGAGCAAAUAGAGAAAGGGAAGCGCUUGCAGGAACUAGAGGAAAAGGGCCCAAGGAGCAAAUAGAGAAAGAGAAGCGUUUACAGGAGCUAGAGGAAAGGUGGCGCAAGGAGCAAAUAGAGAAAGGCGAGCAUCUGCAGGAACUAGAGGAAAAGGGGCGCAAGGAACAAAUGGAGAAAGAGAAGUGCUUGCAGGAAGUAGAGGAAAAGUGGUGGAACGAGCAAAUAGAGAAAGGGAAGCGCUUCCAGGAACUAGAGGAAAAGGGCGCAAGGAGCAAAUAGAGAAAGAGAAGGGCUUGCAGGAACUAGAGGAAAUGUGGUGCAAUGAGAAAAUAAGAAAGAGAAGCGUUUACAGGAGCUAGAGGAAAAGUGGCGCAAGGAGCAAAUAGAGAAAGGCGAGCGUCUGCAGGAACUAGAGGAAAAGGGCGCAAGGAAGAAAUGGAGAAAGCGAAGUGCUUGCAGGAACUAGAGGAAAAGUGGCGCACAGGCCAAAUACAGAAAGAGAAGCGUUUGCAGGAACUAGAGGAAAAGUGGCGCAAGAUGCAAAGAGAGAAAAAUAAGAAUUGCAGGAACUAGAGGAAAAGUGGCGCACAGGCCAAAUACAGAAAGAGAAGCGUUUGCAGGAACUAGAGGAAAAGUGGCGCAAGAUGCAAAGAGAGAAAAAUAAGAAUUGCAGGAACUAGAGGAAAAGUGCAGCAAGAAUCAAAUACAGAAAGAGAAGGGCUUGCAGGGACUAGAGGAAAAGUGGCGCAAGAUGCAAAGAGAGAAAAAUAAGAAUUGCAGGAACUAGAGGAAAAGUGGCGCACAGGCCAAAUACAGAAAGAGAAGCGUUUGCAGGAACUAGAGGAAAAGUGGCGCAAGAUGCAAAGAGAGAAAAAUAAGAAUUGCAGGAACUAGAGGAAAAGUGCAGCAAGAAUCAAAUACAGAAAGAGAAGGGCUUGC